This 1217-nucleotide ribosomal RNA is filed under the name uncultured Rhizaria. RNAcentral describes it as "SSU rRNA". It matches the Rfam family "Eukaryotic small subunit ribosomal RNA", at positions 577 to 1804 of the family's 1831-position model. The record is from RNAcentral.
CGGUAACUCUCAGCUCCAAUAGCGUAUACUAAAGUUGUUGCAGUUAAAAAGCUCGUAGUUGGAUUUCUGCGGGGACGGAGCGGCCGGACGCAACUUGCGUCUCGAGCUAGCGCUUUCCCCGCAUCCUGCCGCGAACCGUGCUACCAUUAGUUUGGUGGCGCCGGGGAUCGGCUCGAUUACUUCGAGAAAAAUAGAGUGUUCAAAGCAGGCCACACGCCUUGAAUAAGUUAGCAUGGAAUAAUGACUAAGGACUUUGGUUCUUUUCGUUGGUGUUCGGGACUGAAGUAAUGAUUGAUAGGGACAGUUGGGGCGGUCCGUAUUCCAAAGCGAGAGGUGAAAUUCUUAGACCUUCGGAAGACGAACAGCUGCGAAAGCGUUCCGCAAGGAUGUUCCCUUUGAUCAAGAACGAAAGUUGGGGGAUCGAAGACGAUCAGAUACCGUCGUAGUCUCAACUAUAAACUAUACCAGCUAGGGAUCGGCCAACGUUUAACUUUAUCGACUUGGUCGGCACCUUAUGAGAAAUCAAAGCAUCUGGUUCCGGGGGGAGUAUGGUCGCAAGGCUGAAACUUAAAGGAAUUGACGGAAGGGCACCACCAGCCGUGAGCCUGUGGCUUAAUUUGACUCAACACGGGAAAACUUACCAGGUCCAGACAUAGGAAGGACUGACAGAUUGAUAGCUCUUUCUUGAUUCUGUGGGUGGUGGUGCAUGGCCGUUCUUAGUCGGUGGAUGUGAUCUGUCUGCUUAAUUGCGUUAACGGACGAGACCCCAGCCUGCUAAAUAGCGCGGCCGAGCUUUGCUCGGUGCGAGCUUCUUAGAGGGACCAUGAUGCGCGAUAGCACAAGGAAGUUUGGGGCAAUAACAGGUCUGUGAUGCCCUUAGAUGUUCUGGGCCGUACACGGGCUACACUGGCGCCUGCAACGAGCAUAUCAGCUGGCCCGAGAGGGUCUUGGCUAAUCUUUGGAACCGGCGCCGUGCUUGGGAUUGACCAUUGCAAUUGUUGGUCAUGCAACGAGGAAUGCCUUGUAAACGCGAGUCAUCAGCUCGCAUUGAAUACGUCCCUGCCCUUUGUACACACCGCCCGUCGCUCCUACCGAUGAAUGUUCCGAUGAAAUUUUCGGAGAGCACCAGAGAACGGGGCUCCGCCUUGCAGAACUGGAGGCUCAAAGUCACUUAAAUCUGAACAUUUCGAGGAAGGAGAAGUCGUAACAAGGUAACC